UCGGAGCUACACAUGCAGCCGAGCGGUAGAGAUUCUUCGGAAUCUUGAGAGCGGCGCACGGGCGCGGAACACGUGUGCAACCUGCCUUUAUCUGGGGGAUAGCCUUUCGAAAGGGAGAUUAAUACCCCAUAAUAUAAUGAGCGGCAUCGCUUAUUAUUGAAAACUCCGGUGGAUAGAGAUGGGCACGCGCAAGAUUAGAUAGUUGGUGAGGUAACGGCUCACCAAGUCAAUGAUCUUUAGGGGGCCUGAGAGGGUGAUCCCCCACACUGGUACUGAGACACGGACCAGACUCCUACGGGAGGCAGCAGUGAGGAAUAUUGGACAAUGGGUGAGAGCCUGAUCCAGCCAUCCCGCGUGAAGGACGACGGCCCUAUGGGUUGUAAACUUCUUUUGUACAGGGAUAAACCUUUCCACGUGUGGAAGGCUGAAGGUACUGUACGAAUAAGCACCGGCUAACUCCGUGCCAGCAGCCGCGGUAAUACGGAGGGUGCAAGCGUUAUCCGGAUUUAUUGGGUUUAAAGGGUCCGUAGGCGGAUCUGUAAGUCAGUGGUGAAAUCUCAUAGCUUAACUAUGAAACUGCCAUUGAUACUGCAGGUCUUGAGUAAGGUAGAAGUAGCUGGAAUAAGUAGUGUAGCGGUGAAAUGCAUAGAUAUUACUUAGAACACCAAUUGCGAAAGCAGGUUACUAUGUCUUAACUGACGCUGAUGGACGAAAGCGUGGGGAGCGAACAGGAUUAGAUACCCUGGUAGUCCACGCUGUAACGAUGCUAACUCGUUUUUGGGUUUUCGGAUUCAGAGACUAAGCGAUGUGAUAGUAGCCACCUGGGGAGUACGAACGCAGUUGAA
This 845-nucleotide ribosomal RNA is filed under the name uncultured bacterium. Its description in RNAcentral is "bacterial SSU rRNA". It matches the Rfam family "Bacterial small subunit ribosomal RNA", at positions 43 to 898 of the family's 1533-position model. The record is from RNAcentral.